AGUCAUCUAUGCUUUCCUUAGGAUACUGGUUUUUCUGCAAGUCUAAGAAAGAUACUGGAUACAAACCAAAAGCUAAACAGUGAAAAUGCUACUCUACAGCGAGACAUUGGCACAUUUCAAAAUGAGGUUUUCAUACUACAAGAGGAUAUUAACAGACGGAAAAGGAAAAUGAAUGAGACAAUAAAAUACAUGGAACAUCAAACAAUGUCAGUAAGAGAAGUGACAGAAGAGUUGCUAACAAAUAUACAAAAUGUAAAGUAUUCCAGAUUUCACAGAAUUCAUUCACAACCUAAUGCUGAGGCCUGAUCUCAAGCAAGACACAGUAUUCAGUGAUAGAAUGGAGGCCUGGGGGUUGUAUUCAAAAAGCUUCAGGUUUGGCCCCGAUACGAUGUGUAAAGUAUGUGUAAAGUAUACUCUGCAGUUCAUUUAAAAUAAAGUCAAUAAUUUUUUA
This is a long non-coding RNA of Erinaceus europaeus (western European hedgehog), 451 nucleotides long. RefSeq lists it as uncharacterized. Lineage: Eukaryota; Metazoa; Chordata; Mammalia; Eulipotyphla; Erinaceidae. The record is from RefSeq and is a predicted model, not a curated record. The transcript has 2 exons.